This 1972-nucleotide ribosomal RNA is filed under the name human metagenome. Its description in RNAcentral is "bacterial LSU rRNA". It matches the Rfam family "Bacterial large subunit ribosomal RNA", at positions 1 to 1973 of the family's 2925-position model. The record is from RNAcentral.
UAAAAUAAUUAAGGGCACACAAAGGAUGCCUAGGUAGUAAGAGCCGAUGAAGGACGUGGUAAGCUGCGAUAAGCCUAGAUAAGUUGCAAUCGAACGUAAGAGUCUAGGAUUUCCGAAUGGAGCAAUCUAUUAAGAUGGAGUCUUAAUACGAAAGAGGGAACCGCGUGAACUGAAACAUCUAAGUAACGCGAGGAAAAGAAAGUAAAAACGAUACCCAAAGUAGCGGCGAGCGAAAUGGGUCAAGCCUAAACCUUAAAUAUGUCAAGGAUACAGCCGUUGUAUUUAGGGGGUUGAGGGACAGAGUAGUGAAGAACUGUAAGAUAUUCAAUAUAGUGUAUUGAUGAAUUGGAAUUGUCUGGAAAGGCGAACCGUAGAAGGUGAAAGUCCUGUACAAGUAAAUCCUUACACAUAUAACUCUGCUCCCAAGUAACAUGGAACACGAGGAAUUCUGUGUGAAUCUGUGAGGACCAUAUCUCAUAAGGCUAAAUACUCUUACUAACCGAUAGCGCAUAGUACCGUGAGGGAAAGGUGAAAAGAACCCCUGGAGGGGAGUGAAAUAGAACCUGAAAUUGUGUGCUUACAAGCGGUCAGAGCCAGUGAUGGUGAUGGCGUGCCUUUUGGAGAAUGAUCCUGCGAGUUACGUUAAACGGCGAGGUUAAGUAUAACGGAGCCGAAGGGAAACCAAGUCUUAAUAGGGCGAUUUAGUCGUUUGGCGUAGACGCGAAACCUGGUGAUCUAAACCUGUCCAGGAUGAAGCUGUGGUAAGACACAGUGGAGGUCCUAACCCACCGCCGUUGAAAAGUUGGGGGAUGAGGUAGGUUUAGGGGUGAAAAGCCAAUCGAACCAGGAGAUAGCUCGUUCUCUCCGAAAUGCAUCUAGGUGCAGCCUUGAGUGUUCAAUUAUGGGGGUAGAGCACUGAAUGAUCUAGGGGGCGUAUUGCUUACUGAAAUCAAUCAAACUCCGAAUACCAUAAUUUAGAGCUCAGGAGUGAGACUAUGGGAGUUAACUUCCAUUGUCGAAAGGGAAACAACCCAGACCACCAGCUAAGGUCCCUAAUUAUAACUAAGUGGGAAAGGAGGUGGAGAUUCACAAACAACUAGGAGGUUGGCUUAGAAGCAGCCAUACCUUUAAAGAGUGCGUAAUAGCUCACUAGUCGAGAGUCUCUGCGCCGACAAUGUAACGGGGCUAAGUUAUAAACCGAAGCUGUGGAAUCCGUAAGGAUUGGUAGGAGAGCGUUCUGUAGGCCGUUGAAGGAGAAGGGUAACUGACUCUGGAGGUAUCAGAAGUGAGAAUGCAGGAAUAAGUAGCGAGAAAGGGGGCGAGAAUCCCCCUCGCCGGAAGACCAAGGUUUUCAGGGUAAAGCUUGUCUUCCCUGAGUAAGCCGGGACCUAAGCCCAGGCUAUAAUGCGUAGGCGAAUGGAAAACAGAUUAAUAUUUCUGUGCCAGUCAUAUAUUGUGAUGGAGGGACGCAGAAGGGUAUGCGCGCGGACGAACGGAAGUGUCCGUAGAAGUAUGUAGGAUGACUUGAUAGGAAAAUCCAUUGAGUUAUAUCUGAGGUAUGAUAUACAGUCGUAAGAUGAAUGUGCAAAUCCCACGCUGCCAAGAAAAGCUUCUAACGUUAAUAUUUGACUGCCCGUACUGCAAACCGACACAGGUGGUCAGGAUGAGAAAUCUAAGGCGGACAGGCUAACUCUCGUUAAGGAACUCUGCAAAAUAACCUCGUAACUUCGGGAGAAGAGGAGCCCUUGAGGGUCAGUAUCCACGCGAUACAAAGCGCUCGAGGGUCGCAGUGAAGAGGCUCAAGCAACUGUUUAACAAAAACACAGGUCUAUGCUAAGCUGGAAGGCGAUGUAUAUGGGCUGACACCUGCCCAGUGCUGGAAGGUUAAGAGGAGGAGUGAGAGCUCCGAAUUGAAGCCCCAGUGAACGGCGGCCGUAACUAUAACGGUCCUAAGGUAGCGAAAUUCCUUGUC